CAACCUUCAAGCCCAGCUUGGUGUUGGGCGUUGUCCCGCCUCUUGCGCGCGGACUCGCCCCAAAUUGAUUGGCAGUCGCAUCCACCGAGCCGCGAGCGCAGCACAAGUCGCGCGAGCCGGCGAGGCGGCAAGGACGCUCCACAAGACCCUUUUUUACAAG
RNAcentral lists this unclassified non-coding RNA (160 nucleotides) under Torula herbarum. RNAcentral's name for it is "partial internal transcribed spacer 2". Lineage: Eukaryota; Fungi; Ascomycota; Dothideomycetes; Pleosporales; Torulaceae. The record is from RNAcentral.